RNAcentral lists this ribosomal RNA (740 nucleotides) under Acinetobacter sp. Its description in RNAcentral is "bacterial SSU rRNA". It matches the Rfam family "Bacterial small subunit ribosomal RNA", at positions 56 to 782 of the family's 1533-position model. Lineage: Bacteria; Pseudomonadati; Pseudomonadota; Gammaproteobacteria; Moraxellales; Moraxellaceae. The record is from RNAcentral.
UGAUAGUCGAUCGUAGAGUCGGUAACUUGCUACUGAUCUUAGCGGCGGACGGGUGAUUAAUGCUUAGGAAUCUGCCUAUUAGUGGGGGACAACAUUUCGAAAGGAAUGCUAAUACCGCAUACGUCCUACGGGAAAAAGCAGGGGAUCUUCGGACCUUGCGCUAAUAGAUGAGCCUAAGUCGGAUUAGCUAGUUGGGGGGGUAAAGGCCUACCAAGGCGACAAUCUGUAGCGGGUCUGAGAGGAUGAUCCGCCACACUGGGACUGAAACACGGCCCAAACUCCUACGGGAGGCAGCAGUGGGGAAUAUUGGACAAUGGGCGCAACCCUGAUCCCCCCCUGCCGCGUGUGUGAAAAAGGCCUUAUGGUUGUAAAGCACUUUAAGCGAGGAGGAGGCUACUUUAGUUAAUACCUAAAGAUAGUGGACGUUACUCGCAGAAUAAGCACCGGCUAACUCUGUGCCAGCAGCCGCGGUAAUACAGAGGGUGCAAGCGUUAAUCGGAUUUACUGGGCGUAAAGCGCGCGUAGGCGGCUAAUUAAGUCAAAUGUGAAAUCCCCGAGCUUAACUUGGGAAUUGCAUUCCCAUACUGGUUAGCUAAAGUGUGGGAGAAGGAUGGGACAAAUUCCCGGUGUAGACGCUGCAAAUGCGUAGAGAUCUUGGAUUAACACCGAUGAACGAAAGCGUCAUCUGUCCUAUUAUCUCGCAACUUAGAUGCGCAACGUGUGGAGGAGAUAGGACUAAA